This 420-nucleotide long non-coding RNA is filed under the name Androctonus crassicauda. Lineage: Eukaryota; Metazoa; Arthropoda; Arachnida; Scorpiones; Buthidae. The record is from RNAcentral.
AAAUAAAAAAAAAUGAAUAAUAAAUUAAACUUAAUUUUAUCUAAAUUAGUAGGCUUUACUAUAUUAUUAUUUAUGAAUUAUAUGCAAUACUUAAAAUAUGUAAAAUAUAUGAUUUUUAAUAAUGUUUAUGAAAUGAAGCAGACUGCACUGAACAGUAGUGAGAACUGUAUGUUGCCCGCAAGCUAUAAAAUUGACAUGCCUACUUUAAUGUUUUGUGAUUUAUAUGCAGUAUCUGGUUUUAUGAAUUCUAUCAGCAUAAUAAUUCAGUUUACACAAGAUUAAGGAUAAACAACCAAAUUGUCAUUGCUUUCCUAAAUAUUGUUAUUAGUUUGGUAUUAUAUUUUAAAUAAAAUGAAUAUUUGCAUAAAAAUCUCCCUAUCAACAAACUUCUUAAUUGGUCUUGAGUAGACAGAAAUGUAC